GGCACGUAGUCUAGUUUCAAAUGCUGCUUUGUGAGGCAAAACACUUUGGAAAAUAUUGUACUCAGGAGGGAUUCUGAGGGACUAAUUACUUAUUUUUGUCUUAUAUGACUAUAUAAUUUUGAGCAUGGAUCUGUGCUGCUGCUACUGCUUGUAAAAAACUUGCCACCAGACAGAGAUAGUCUUCCCCCCAGGACCACCAUUGCACUGCUUCUUGUUGUUUGGUGCAACAAAAAGUGCCUGGAGAUGUGAUGGACACAUUCCUUCACAUCUUUCCCUGAUGCUUCUGGAUGAAGUUGCAGAACCCAUCAAUAAUAGAAAAUGCUGACAUAAUGAUAUAUUGCAGCA
Pogona vitticeps (central bearded dragon) is the source of this 345-nucleotide non-coding RNA. The record is from RefSeq and is a predicted model, not a curated record. NCBI's taxonomy places the organism in Eukaryota, Metazoa, Chordata, Lepidosauria, Squamata, Agamidae.